GUCUCAUUUCAGAAGAAAUGAGGCGACGUUGCGGAGGUCCGGUCGGUUGGCCCGGUGGAGGUCCAGGCGGUCGGCCCGGUGGAGGUCCAGGCGGUUGGCCCGGUGGAGGUCCUGGAGGGGACGGUCCUGGCGGUCGGCCCGGUGGAGGUCCUGGAGGAGACGGCCCCGGCGGUGGAGGACGGCUGGGGGAUCCGGCGUUGGAGGUCCGAAGGCGGCUCGUGAUUAGACCAACCAGCUCCUCAUCCAUGGAAGCAGGAUUGAAGGAGUCACUGGGGAUGAAGAGCGCUGGUCAGGGGCUGACGACCCCCCCCCCCCCCUCAUCUUUCUGGAGAAGGGUCUUCAUGGUGCAGGCGGCCAAACAGCUUGAUGACUGACUGGUUCCUUAUACUCCGGACCUCGUCCCGGAGCAGAGGACGGACCAAAGGCCUGCAGCGCAGCAGACUAGAGACUCGGUGGAACCGGUUCAAAGAGAGUUGACCUCUCCUUCAGGCGACUUAAGGGGAGACCAGAUGUGCGGCAGCUGGGUGUCAUGGUGCAGAGACCCAACGCUGCACUGAACUACACCAGUGUGUCCUACUCCCCCAUAAACCCUGAGGAUCCCUGGCUACACCAGCACAUUAAUCCACACCCAACAUCCACACACAGUGCACACUCUAUAGAGCUCGUAAGUCCGCCCCUUGCGGCGGGACCUCGUGAGAUCGUAAGAUAUGACUGGGUUUCAAUGGAGAGAAAGUAAUUAUUUUCUCCAUUUUAUGUUGCACCACAUUUUGGGGGAAGAAUGUUUGAAUCAAUCUUUGUCAUUUAUUUCUGUACUCCACAUCUGUAAUCCCAGCUGUUGUAUUUUAACACGGUAGCUGGGAACCCUCUUUAUAGGGAGCGACUAGAGGGAAGAGGCUGGAAGCAAACCUGUGCCUGGAUCUUAACCUUCUUUCUAAACCUAAUGCCGCAAUUUAACCGCAAAUAAAGUGAGGCCUAAAGUAACUUGACUCUCUUACCUAAACUUGCUUGCCUAAACUCGCUCGUCUAAACUUGCAUAAAACCUAAACUCGCUUGCAUAAAACCUGAACUUGCUUGGCUAAACUCGCGUCGCUUGCCUAAUACCUGAACUUGCUUGCCGGAACUUGCUUGCCGGAACUUGCUUGCCGGAACUUGCUUGCCGGAACUUGCUUGCCGGAACUUGCUUGCCGGAACUUGCGUGCCGGAACUUGCGUGCCGGAACUUGCGUGCCGGAACUUGCGUGCCUGAACUUGCGUGCCUAAACUUGCGUGCCUAAACUUGCGUGCCUAAACUUGCGUGCCUAAACUUGCGUGCCUAAACUUGCGUGCCUAAACUCGCGUGCCUAAACGCUAACUUGCUUAGCUUGACUCGCUUGCCUGUACUCGCUUGGCUAAACUCGCUUGGCUAAUACCUGAAGUCGCUUGCCUAAAACCUGAAGUCGCUUGCCUAAAACCUAAACUUGCUUGUCCAAACACGUUACACAAAGUUAACCAUCCAUAAUCUUUAACCCAAACCAGACUUGUCACUGGGUCGCUCCACUUUAAUUUAGAAGUUUCUUCUUUUACCUCAUCUGUGUUUUGAGUUUCAUUCUUUGAGGGCUUGAAGUGCUUUGGAGGAUAUUUGAACCUUUGUUUGCCGCAUCAAUAAACAUGCUUUAUCUUUACCCAUUUUGUUUUGGAUUGCAUUUCUAUAUGUAAUCCGGCCAAAUGUUCAGUGUCCUUACAUGUAAAGUCUAUGGUCCGAUGAUAAUCUGACCUCUUCAUGAAGCAGAAUGUGUGUGAAUGUUGUCCCGUGAGCUCCAGGCUCUCUUUGGGCCUGUCAACGUCUCUUUAGCAAAAGGUUGGAGUGAAAUUCAUUUUUGUGCUAUUUUCACGUGUUCCUGAGUAUUUCAGACCUGUGGUGUUUCACAUGAGACCUUAAUGGGAACUUUUCUUUGUCUGCCUGCCUACGUAAUGCCUACAUUAGUAGGGUGAUCGCUGUUGAUCCCAAUAUUGAUAAUUAACCACCUCAUUCUUUGGGAUUACAAAUCAUGCAAUUUAUGAGCAUAUUUGCAAAUGCCUCCAAAUAUCAGAUUGUGUAAAAACGAAUGAAAUGUAACCUGCUUGAUUUAAAGAAAAUAAAACAUCCAAAUAUUAUA
Gadus chalcogrammus (walleye pollock) is the source of this 2134-nucleotide long non-coding RNA. RefSeq lists it as uncharacterized. The record is from RefSeq and is a predicted model, not a curated record. The transcript has 5 exons. Lineage: Eukaryota; Metazoa; Chordata; Actinopteri; Gadiformes; Gadidae.